This is a long non-coding RNA of Gadus macrocephalus (Pacific cod), 412 nucleotides long. RefSeq lists it as uncharacterized. NCBI's taxonomy places the organism in Eukaryota, Metazoa, Chordata, Actinopteri, Gadiformes, Gadidae. The record is from RefSeq and is a predicted model, not a curated record. The transcript has 2 exons.
ACCUCGCUCUCAACAUGUGGAUUGAAUGAGGAACUGCUGAAGGACUGCUCUCCCUCCGUGGAACAGGAAGGAUUCAACUGAACUCUCAAAGACUAUGAGGAGGGUACGGACGAUAAAUACUCUGAAGGCCUCUCCCUAAUUUACCCAAAGACGAACAAACAUCCAACAGAAGACAGUGUCCAAGGGGCCUCUCAGGGGCGUCCCGGGCUGGCCAGUGCUACAUCUUUGGCUCCUAGCCACUGUACCCAAACGUGAGUUCCCUUGGUUUGUAUAGCUUGUGGGAUUACCAGGUUGGUCCCCAAUGUAUCCAAAUGACAACGUACAAGAAACCCGUACAAAGAGAAAUCGGCGAGGGUGUCAAACUCUUUUCUAACCCAGAGAAAUCCGGAAUGGUGGAUUGCAUUUCGAUAUA